GUGUCAGCAGCCGCGGUAAUACAUACUGUGCGAACGUUAUUCGGAUUCACUGGGCUUAAAGGGUGCGUAGGUGGCAUGUUAAGUAGGAUGUGAAAUCCCCCAGCUCAACUGGGGAACUGCAUUCUAAACUGGCGUGCUAGAGUGAGAUAGGGGUGUCCGGAACUGCCAGUGGAGCGGUGAAAUGUGUUGAUAUUGGCAGGAACGCCGGUGGCGAAAGCGGGACACUGGGUCUCAACUGACACUGAGGCACGAAAGCCAGGGGAGCGAACGGGAUUAGAUACCCCGGUAGUCC
Molecule: ribosomal RNA, 292 nt
Filed under: uncultured bacterium
Lineage: Bacteria
Description: partial 16S ribosomal RNA
Rfam family: Bacterial small subunit ribosomal RNA
Source: RNAcentral